UGGCAGUCAGGUUUAUUGUUGGGAA
Molecule: non-coding RNA, 25 nt
Filed under: Mus musculus (house mouse)
Lineage: Eukaryota; Metazoa; Chordata; Mammalia; Rodentia; Muridae
Source: RNAcentral